ACCGUGAGGGAAAGGCGAAAAGAACCCCGGCGAGGGGAGUGAAACAGAACCUGAAACCGUGUACGUACAAGCAGUGGGAGCCCCACCACUAAGCCAGUGGUGAACUCCACAUACGCAUCCUUUGCUGAGGAUACGGUUAACGGAGCGAGAGCGACGUUCAGCCGCAAAAGAAGCAGAGGGGGCUUAGUGGUGGGGUGACUGCGUACCUUUUGUAUAAUGGGUCAGCGACUUAUAUUCUGUAGCAAGGUUAACCGCAUAGGGGAGCCGGAGGGAAACCGAGUCUUAAUUGGGCGUUAAGUUGCAGGGUAUAGACCCGAAACCCGGUGAUCUAGCCAUGGGCAGGUUGAAGGUUGGGUAACACUAACUGGAGGACCGAACCGACUAAUGUUGAAAAAUUAGCGGAUGACCUGUGGCUGGGGGUGAAAGGCCAAUCAAACCGGGAGAUAGCUGGUUCUCCCCGAAAGCUAUUUAGGUAGCGCCUCGUGAAUUCAUCUCCGGGGGUAGAGCACUGUUUCGGCCAGGGGGCCAUCCCGGCUUACCAAUCCGAUGCAAACUGCGAAUACCGGAGAAUGUUAUCACGGGAGACACACGGCGGGUGCUAACGUCCGUCGUGAAGAGGGAAACAACCCAGACCGCCAGCUAAGGUCCCAAAGUCAUGGUUAAGUGGGAAACGAUGUGGGAAGGCCCAGACAGCCAGGAUGUUGGCUUAGAAGCAGCCAUCAUUUAAAGAAAGCGUAAUAGCUCACUGGUCGAGUCGGCCUGCGCGGAAGAUGUAACGGGGCUAAACCAU
RNAcentral lists this ribosomal RNA (790 nucleotides) under Salmonella enterica. RNAcentral describes it as "partial 23S ribosomal RNA". It matches the Rfam family "Bacterial large subunit ribosomal RNA", at positions 500 to 1190 of the family's 2925-position model. The record is from RNAcentral. Lineage: Bacteria; Pseudomonadati; Pseudomonadota; Gammaproteobacteria; Enterobacterales; Enterobacteriaceae.